UUAGGACACCAUUCAUAUGUCGUCUGAGUAAAUGGGAAACAAGUGGAAAAUUAGGACUACAUUCAUAUGUCGUCUGAGUAAACGGGAAACUGACAGCUAAUUUGCUAAUAAUAUUGUAAAGUAUUUGAUCCCUCCCUUGGCUAAAAAAGAAAAACUCGGGCUCCUUUUGCUAGGACCUUUCCCUUAGCUGAAAGAAAAAAAGAACCAACCCUAGAUCUAAAAACUCGGGCUCGUUUUGCCGCCUCUGACUCUCAGCCAAUCUCUCCCUCGCACGCUCGAUCUCACUCUCAUGAACCUCAGUCCCUCAAUCCACCCUCAAUCCCUUUCACCCUCUCAAGCUCACACACACUCUCAUCCUCCUGCGAUUCCGGCAAAGCAAGUUUGGGUAUGGAAGUUUUGGGUAUAGAAGUUUGGGUAAAGUAAGUUUGCAAAGCAUAGACAUCCUCAAGUUUGGUUCGAUUUCUGGUUCGAUUUCGAAUUCUUCAAGCUUGUUGCAAAGAAAUUUAUAGUGGAAUUCGACUUCGUAUUGAUGCUUUGAACUGUGAUUUUGGAGGUUAGUGUGUCUGUGCUUAAAGGAAGCAGCUUCUUUGCUGUUUGAGUGAAUUAGAAUUUGGGAUGAGAAGGAUGAACAAUUAUAUACCCAAUUUCCUGCAACAAACUUUGAGGGCUAAAACUGAUGAAACUAAAGAACGGCACUAAGCAAGUCUUCAC
Rosa rugosa (rugosa rose) is the source of this 711-nucleotide long non-coding RNA. RefSeq lists it as uncharacterized. The transcript has 4 exons. Lineage: Eukaryota; Viridiplantae; Streptophyta; Magnoliopsida; Rosales; Rosaceae. The record is from RefSeq and is a predicted model, not a curated record.